ACCAUCCUCAGCCGUCAGGAGGUUUAUGGUUUCCCAGCUGGAUUUCUGCCCUUUUAGCAAUGAGUUUGGGCAUUUUCUGUUAGCAGACAGAACGUGAGGGUUUGUAUUCAUAGCUGCAGUUUAUUCCCUCAUCAUUUCUCCGUAGCAGCGUAACAUGCCAGGGAUAGAAUUUCUUCCCCGAGGAAACUCCACCUCCACCCAUACACAGCCAGACCAGUGAUUCCACUACAACGUUCCCGGAGCUCCUGUGCGGGAAAGCUGAGUCAGGGCAUGGAGAGCGAAAAUAAAAACAUGUACCAACCAAACGUGGUGACCAUGCAGCCUAUGCCAAUGUCCGACCAGCCCCGGCCAAAGGAUUACUUGGUGUUCUCCAUUUUUAACCUGGUCUGUUGCUGCAUGCCCAUUGGGAUCGCUGCCCUCAUCUUCUCCAUCAAGACACGAGACGCUACGGCCCGGAGCGACUGGUCCACGGCAGGAAAACACUCUCGUACGACCUUACAUCUGAAUAUUGCGUCUGUGGUGAUUGGGAUCAUUCUGUCAGUUGUCUUUGUUGCCCUUUACGCUUACUUUGGUUUACAUAAAGAUUAACCCCUCCGCACCCCGUAAAUGACAUGAAGUGGGUGACCAGUCAGCGCUACAGAAGUCACACCCUGAAGAUGUGUAAAUAAAAUGCUUUCAAAUGCUGAA
Long non-coding RNA from Pseudophryne corroboree (corroboree frog), 687 nucleotides. RefSeq lists it as uncharacterized. Lineage: Eukaryota; Metazoa; Chordata; Amphibia; Anura; Myobatrachidae. The record is from RefSeq and is a predicted model, not a curated record. The transcript is spliced from 2 exons.